UAGAUCGAAUAGAAUACAGGGGGCGACCAAGAACCUCCAUCAAACCCUAGAUCACACAAAACUCACAAAUUGAAGGCACAAAUCAGUUCCAAAACGAAAUUCGAGCUUAGAUUGGUGAUCUCCACGAUAAGGGGAUCAUAAGGCAAGGAAACCGGGACGUCAAGCGGACAAGCCGGUGGUGAUAUGCGCUUGAAGGGAGUGCUUUGAAGGUACGUAACCUUGGUUUCGUUACAUUAUACUUUGAUUUUAUUGUAGUUAAUAUCUUGAAAUUAGCAAUAUGAAAGAUUGUAGUUUAUUGUAGAAGUGAUGAAGUUCACUAGUUAAUCAAAACGGGUCAAAAGAUUUGUUAAAGUAUGUUUGGUUGUCAUUAAGAUGGUGGAUUCCAUUAGACAACCAAUCGGGUCAAACAACGAUUUAAAAAGGUAGUUUCGAAGUGACUUGAAUGUCACUUGAUGAUUGUGAAUUAUUAAAGCGUAAACCAUGGAAUGGAAGUGAUACGCUGAGAUGGACAAGCCCGGGAAUGGGUAAUCAUGGUUAGAAAUCAAAGACGGUGAAUUAUGCAAGUAUGUAACCUUUAUCCCGUUACAUUAUGUAUUUGAAUAAUUAUGGAUACUUGGAAUUGUGUUUAUUAGAAAUGGUAGUGUUAGUAAAAGUGACGUAGAUCACUAUUAGUUAAACGAGUCAAAAACUUGAAUAUGAAAUGUUUGGUAGUCAUUAGAAAUGGAGAAUUUCAUAAAUGAGCCAAACGAGUCAAAUAAUUGUUUAGUAAGUAGUAAAAAAAUGUGUUUGAAUAGCAUUUGGCGACGAUGGAUCACAAGAGUGUGAAACCAUAGAUUUGGUAAUGAAACGCCAGUGAUCGUAAGCCCCGGAUGUUGGGUAAAUACGCCUUGGCGUUGUUACAUUAAUAUUAGUAGUAGAAUUAGUGCAAAGUUAUGCGGGACGAAUAAAUAGAAAAGGGAUUCAUAGACUUUCAGUCCGUAGACUCAACUUUUGAUUAAUUGAUUAUAAUAAAUGCGUUGGUAUUUAAAUUACGGACGCGUAGGAAAAAGAAUCACCUAAAAUGGACAUGUAGAAUAAAAGUUAUGAAUGUUUGAAGUUAGAAUUUUGUUAAACAUAAGAGCUGGGAAUCUGCAGCACAAACCAAGCAACAGACUGUCGAAAACAAGGUGUCGCGUUACACGACACCAAACCUGAUACAUUGUCGCGUAACGCGACGUCUGUCGCGGGCCGCGUAGGCUAUGGAAGGAUCUGUCGCGGGGCGCGACAGACCUAAAGAUCAGAAUUUUUGUUUUGAUUUCAUUGUUUGAUACCAGAACUUAUUUAUAUGUGUGAUAUUGGUCUUAACCCGGAUGGCGAUCAAGCAAGAAUCCAAGAACCGAAUACUAAUUUUGAAGCUUCCGCGUUAAUCUAAUCAUGUUUUAGACGAUGUUUGUUUUGUAAACACUACUUAAUGUUGAAUGUUUUAAACAACUUAGUUGAUUAUAUUAGAACACCUUAAUCGUGUAACCUUAGUUUUAUCAACUAAGUUUCGAUAAUUAUGCAUUUUGGUU
RNAcentral lists this long non-coding RNA (1550 nucleotides) under Helianthus annuus (common sunflower). Its description in RNAcentral is "hypothetical non coding rna". The record is from RNAcentral. Lineage: Eukaryota; Viridiplantae; Streptophyta; Magnoliopsida; Asterales; Asteraceae.